UACGUAGGGUCCAAGCGUUAUCCGGAAUCACUGGGCGUAAAGAGCGUGUAGGCGGCUUUACAGGUCCGUUGUGAAAACUCGAGGCUCAACCUCGAGACGCCGGUGGAAACCGUAAGGCUAGAGUCCGGAAGAGGAGAGUGGAAUUCCUGGUGUAGCGGUGAAAUGCGCAGAUAUCAGGAAGAACACCAGUGGCGAAGGCGGAACUCUGGGCCGGAACUGACGCUGAGGAGCGAAAGCGUGGGGAGCGAACAGG
Molecule: ribosomal RNA, 253 nt
Filed under: uncultured bacterium
Lineage: Bacteria
Description: partial 16S ribosomal RNA
Rfam family: Bacterial small subunit ribosomal RNA
Source: RNAcentral